UAACGAUUAAUCAAGGUUCUUAGGAU
RNAcentral lists this non-coding RNA (26 nucleotides) under Rattus norvegicus (Norway rat). The record is from RNAcentral. Lineage: Eukaryota; Metazoa; Chordata; Mammalia; Rodentia; Muridae.